This 255-nucleotide ribosomal RNA is filed under the name uncultured bacterium. RNAcentral's name for it is "partial 16S ribosomal RNA". It matches the Rfam family "Bacterial small subunit ribosomal RNA", at positions 524 to 776 of the family's 1533-position model. The record is from RNAcentral.
CACGUAGGGUGCGAGCGUUGUCCGGAAUUAUUGGGCGUAAAGAGCUCGUAGGCGGUGUGUCGCGUCGGCCGUGAAAACCUGCAGCUUAACUGUGGGCUUGCGGUCGAUACGGGCAUCACUGGAGUUCGGCAGGGGAGAACUGGAAUCCUGGUGUAGCGGUGAAAUGCGCAGAUAUCAGGAGGAACACCAAUUGCGAAGGCAGCUCGCUGGGACGUUAACUGACGCUGAGACGCGAAAGCGUGGGGAGCAAACAGG